GGGAAUGUGGCUUAGUGGUAGAGUGCUUGCCUAGCAUGCAUGAAGCCCUGGGUUCAAUUCUGCAGCACCA
Molecule: non-coding RNA, 70 nt
Organism: Dipodomys ordii (Ord's kangaroo rat)
Lineage: Eukaryota; Metazoa; Chordata; Mammalia; Rodentia; Heteromyidae
Source: Rfam